UGGCGAGUGGUGCUAACCCGGACGUGAGCACUGUGAAGGUAAAUAGGAAUCACAUCGUGAAUGAGUAGAGCGCAUUCUCGCCACUCUGGAGAGACGUGUAUCGACCUUAGAGGAAGGCCAGCCCGACGUGUCAGCGCUUAGCUUAGGACGAGCUCGAAGGCUUAAGCGAGCGGGUUGCUCGUUAGAGAAGGAAAAGUUGGAUGCUAAG
RNAcentral lists this long non-coding RNA (208 nucleotides) under Amborella trichopoda. RNAcentral describes it as "long non-coding RNA (ATRI_LNC002777)". Lineage: Eukaryota; Viridiplantae; Streptophyta; Magnoliopsida; Amborellales; Amborellaceae. The record is from RNAcentral.